Molecule: ribosomal RNA, 487 nt
Filed under: uncultured bacterium
Lineage: Bacteria
Description: bacterial SSU rRNA
Rfam family: Bacterial small subunit ribosomal RNA
Source: RNAcentral
CUACGUGCCAGCAGCCGCGGUAAUACGGAGGGUGCGAGCGUUAAUCGGAAUAACUGGGCGUAAAGGGCACGCAGGCGGUGACUUAAGUGAGGUGUGAAAGCCCCGGGCUUAACCUGGGAAUUGCAUUUCAUACUGGGUCGCUAGAGUACUUUAGGGAGGGGUAGGAUUCCACGUGUAGCGGUGAAAUGCGUAGAGAUGUGGAGGAAUACCGAUGGCGAAGGCAGCCUCCUGGGAUAACACUGACGUUCAUGCUCGAAAGCGUGGGUAGCAAACAGGAUUAGAUACCCUGGUAGUCCACGCCCUAAACGAUGUCAAUUAGCUGUUGGGCAACUUGAUUGCUUAGUAGCGUAGCUAACGCGUGAAAUUGACCGCCUGGGGAGUACGGUCGCAAGAUUAAAACUCAAAGGAAUUGACGGGGACCCGCACAAGCGGUGGAUGAUGUGGAUUAAUUCGAUGCAACGCGAAGAACCUUACCUGGUCUUGACAU